This 563-nucleotide ribosomal RNA is filed under the name Talaromyces purpureogenus. RNAcentral's name for it is "eukaryotic LSU rRNA". The stretch from base 189 to 342 matches the Rfam family "5.8S ribosomal RNA". The record is from RNAcentral. Lineage: Eukaryota; Fungi; Ascomycota; Eurotiomycetes; Eurotiales; Trichocomaceae.
UUGGGGAGAGCGGCCUGCAGCACCAUUAGUCAGCGGAGGAGCAUAUCAAUAAGCGGAGGAGCAUAUCAAUAGGCGGAGGAGCAUAUCAAUAAGCGGAGGAGCAUAUCAGUAAGCGGGAGCCGCGCCCGCCGAAGCGCUCUGUGAACCCUGAUGAAGAUGGGCUGUCUGAGUACUAUGAAAAUUGUCAAAACUUUCAACAAUGGAUCUCUUGGUUCCGGCAUCGAUGAAGAACGCAGCGAAAUGCGAUAAGUAAUGUGAAUUGCAGAAUUCCGUGAAUCAUCGAAUCUUUGAACGCACAUUGCGCCCCCUGGCAUUCCGGGGGGCAUGCCUGUCCGAGCGUCAUUUCUGCCCUCAAGCACGGCUUGUGUGUUGGGUGCGGUCCCCCCGGGGACCUGCCCGAAAGGCAGCGGCGACGUCCGUCUGGUCCUCGAGCGUAUGGGGCUUUGUCACUCGCUCGGGAAGGACUGGCGGGGGUUGGUCACCACCAAAAUUUUUACCACGGUUGACCUCGGAUCAGGUAGGAGUUACCCGCUGAACUUAAGCAUAUCAAUAAGCGGAAGAAA